Molecule: ribosomal RNA, 805 nt
Filed under: uncultured Bacteroidota bacterium
Lineage: Bacteria; Pseudomonadati; Bacteroidota
Description: bacterial SSU rRNA
Rfam family: Bacterial small subunit ribosomal RNA
Source: RNAcentral
AGGAGAGUUUGAUCCUGGCUCAGGAUGAACGCUAGCUACAGGCUUAACACAUGCAAGUCGAGGGGCAGCAUGGGAGUUGCUUGCAAUUCCCGAUGGCGACCGGCGCACGGGUGAGUAACGCGUAUCCAACCUUCCCGUCACUCAGGGAUAGCCCGCCGAAAGGCGAAUUAAUACCUGAUGAUCUCCUUUGCGGACAUCUAAUGAGGAGUAAAGGUUUUUCCGGUGACGGAUGGGGAUGCGUCUGAUUAGGUUGUUGGCGGGGUAACGGCCCACCAAGCCAUCGAUCAGUAGGGGUUCUGAGAGGAAGGUCCCCCACAUUGGAACUGAGACACGGUCCAAACUCCUACGGGAGGCAGCAGUGAGGAAUAUUGGUCAAUGGGCGAGAGCCCGAACCAGCCAAGUAGCGUGGAGGAUGACGGCCCUACGGGUUGUAAACUCCUUUUAUCAGGGGAUAAAGUCCACUACGUGUAGUGGUUUGCAGGUACCUGAUGAAUAAGGACCGGCUAAUUCCGUGCCAGCAGCCGCGGUAAUACGGAAGGUCCGGGCGUUAUCCGGAUUUAUUGGGUUUAAAGGGAGCGCAGACGGGCUGUUAAGCGUGACGUGAAAUCCGGGGGCUCAACCUUCGGCUGCGUCGCGAACUGGCGGCCUUGAGUGGACGGUAGGCAGGCGGAAUUCGUGGUGUAGCGGUGAAAUGCUUAGAUAUCACGAAGAACCCCGAUUGCGAAGGCAGCUUGCCGCAGUCUUACUGACGUUCAUGCUCGAAGGUGCGGGUAUCGAACAGGAUUAGAUACCCUGGUAGUCCCCU